ACGCUCGACACCUACGGAGGCAGCAGUGGGGAAUAUUGGGCAAUGGGCGCAAGCCUGACCCAGCAACGCCGCGUGAAGGAAGAAGGCUUUCGGGUUGUAAACUUCUUUUCUCAGGGACGAAGGAAGUGACGGUACCUGAGGAACAAGCCACGGCUAACUACGUGUCAGCAGCCGCGGUAAUCUGAGCGGGCUGGCAAGGC
This 200-nucleotide ribosomal RNA is filed under the name uncultured bacterium. RNAcentral's name for it is "partial 16S ribosomal RNA". It matches the Rfam family "Bacterial small subunit ribosomal RNA", at positions 328 to 539 of the family's 1533-position model. The record is from RNAcentral.